CCCUACUUCUGUCUCCCUUAUGGUGAGUGUUUUAUAAGUAAAAGUGGAGAGGCAAAUGCAGCAGCCCGUGGGGUAGGCAAGGGACCCUUCCAAGAUGUUUUUCCUGCCUAAAGUGUUCAUGAAGUUGUCUCACUUUCAGCCCCGGAAUUGGGAGUGAAGAUGGAGAGCACAUCAGAUUCAACCUUUCAGACCACUCACUCCCUCAAAGACAAUGCUGGCAUGGCCAGGUGGUGGAGAACCAUCGAGACCAAAAAGAUACACAGGUAUACCCAAGGGCAUACUUAGGACUUCACAGUUUCCAGGAAGGGGAGUAUACUCUGCCAACCCAGCAACUACGACUGCCUGCCAGAAUUCAGUAAUUCAUGGAAACUGAUUUAAACAAAACCCAAGGAGUAAAAAGCUGCUUUGCAGUCUACUGGAGGAGGACCAAACCAUGGCAACUGGUUUGAACGCUGUCCGGGAGAAAAGGAUGAAAGCGUCCUAGACAACCGAACCAAGUCGCUUUCCAGAGGGGUGCCAGACAGAGACGGUAACCCCAUAGGGCACGAAAGAGAAAACCCACAACCAUCUACUUUGGCAGGGGCGCCUACAGAUCUGUCUUGUACGUGCCAUUCCUUGUAAGUUCAGACGCAGGCACGACCUCUGUCCGCACAAUGAAGAGCAGAGGUGCUUGGCAGCGGCCAGAUUCCGCAGAGAAAUACGAGUCCGGGGCAGAAACUUUCCGCCUGCUUUUUGCAGCCAGGAUGCGGGUGUACCACGGGUCUCCUCUCCCCCGAUCCCCAAAUCGCACUCCCAGAGAGCUGGGCUGAGAGACCCUAUGCAGAGAACACGCCCACCACGACGGGAGAUCGUCCCGAGCCAGACCCAGUAGAGCUGGCCGGAGGUCUCCAUAGAAAGCGGGCAGGGGCGUCCGGGACCUGGGAAAGCUUUAGUCCACACAAACCCGGACUCCAGACCGAGACUCACCAGCCU
This is a long non-coding RNA of Myotis daubentonii (Daubenton's bat), 972 nucleotides long. RefSeq lists it as uncharacterized. The record is from RefSeq and is a predicted model, not a curated record. NCBI's taxonomy places the organism in Eukaryota, Metazoa, Chordata, Mammalia, Chiroptera, Vespertilionidae. The transcript has 3 exons.